Molecule: ribosomal RNA, 846 nt
Filed under: uncultured bacterium
Lineage: Bacteria
Description: bacterial SSU rRNA
Rfam family: Bacterial small subunit ribosomal RNA
Source: RNAcentral
CGGGCUUGGGGGCUUGCUCCCGGGUUAGUGGCGAACGGGUGAGUAAUAUAUCGGAACAUAUCCGGAAGUGGGGGAUAACGUAGCGAAAGUUACGCUAAUACCGCAUAUGCCCUGAGGGGGAAAGGGGGGGAUCGCAAGACCUCUCGCUUUCGGAGUGGCCGAUACCGGAUUAGCUAGAUGGUGAGGUAAAGGCUCACCAUGGCGACGAUCCGUAGCGGGUCUGAGAGGACGACCCGCCACACUGGAACUGAGACACGGUCCAGACUCCCACGGGAGGCAGCAGUGGGGAAUUUUGGACAAUGGGCGCAAGCCUGAUCCAGCCAUACCGCGUGAGUGAAGAAGGCCUUCGGGUUGUAAAGCUCUUUCAGCCGGAAAGAAAUUGCUUCUAUUAAUACUAGGGGUAGAUGACAGUACCGGAAGAAGAAGCACCGGCUAACUACGUGCCAGCAGCCGCGGUAAUACGUAGGGUGCGAGCGUUAAUCGGAAUUACUGGGCGUAAAGCGUGCGCAGGCGGUUUGGUAAGACAGAUGUGAAAUCCCCGGGCUUAACCUGGGAACUGCAUUUGUGACUGCCAGACUAGAGUGUAGCAGAGGGGGGUAGAAUUCCACGUGUAGCAGUGAAAUGCGUAGAGAUGUGGAGGAAUACCGAUGGCGAAGGCAGCCCCCUGGGCUAACACUGACGCUCAUGCACGAAAGCGUGGGGAGCAAACAGGAUUGGAUACCCUGGUAGUCCACGCCCUAAACGAUGUCAACUAGGUGUUGGGGAAGGAGACUUCUUUAGUACCGCAGCUAACGCGUGAAGUUGACCGCCUGGGGAGUACGGUCGCAAGAUUAAAACUCAAAGGAA